RNAcentral lists this small RNA (1851 nucleotides) under Arabidopsis thaliana (thale cress). RNAcentral's name for it is "ATSL161880". The record is from RNAcentral. Lineage: Eukaryota; Viridiplantae; Streptophyta; Magnoliopsida; Brassicales; Brassicaceae.
UGAUAAUUUUUAUUUUUGUUGUGUUUAGCAUGUUGAUGCAGCUUUGGAGUUGAUGAAAACGAGGAAGGAAAGCAAUCCAGAAUUAUUCAAAAACAAAACAGUUGUAUUUGUUGGAUCGUCUUUCUUAAAUGCGAUUGAUGAGUCAUACAUGGAGUUUUUGGAUGAUAAAGAGGGAUUUCAGUUUCAAUCUGAAGAAAUCAGUAAGCUGGUAAUAGAGGAAGAAACCAAGUGCAUAUUGACUCCUUUCUGUAUCAAAGGAAAAUGCUGGGUUGCCUUGCUAAUCCACUUGGAACAGAAGACAGUUUGUAUAUGGGAAUGUGCAGCUUCUUAUUUAACAGAAGAAGUCAAGAAAAAAUAUGUUGUUGCCUACUCUAUAGCUAUGCCAUACAUUGUUCGGAACAUCCUCAAAAAAGAAGACAUGGAUGUCUCUCCAUUUAGCAUCAAAGUCCUGACCACUUUUCCUUAGGUAACUUCUUUAAAUAUAUCAUAGUCUUAACUUCCGUAAGUCCUGACUUCUUUAACUUCUUUGCUCAAGUAAUUCUUUUGGUUUUUGGUGGUAGGCUCCUAGAAAUGAAGAGUCUGGUAUCUAUGUGCUGAAGUUUAUGGAAUGCUACUCAAUGUAUACCAGCCAUUCAAACCUUGAAGGGAACAUAAUUCAAAACGUAAGAAAUAAAUUGGCUGCUGACAUCUUCACCGAAUUAGAGUCAGUCAGUUUGUAGAAGUAGAAGACUUCUAAUCAAAAAGUAGUGGAGUAUAAGAUAGAUUUAGCAGCUUUUGUUUCUUAUUUCAUAAAACUUUGUCAUUUGAAUAUUUUAUGAACAUCUGUAUGGAACAAAAUUUAUGAAGUUUAUUUAGUUCAACUCCUGUUUAACAAAAUUACUUUAUAAUGGUUGUUUGGGUUAACAAGUGCUUUGAUUUGAAUGGAAAAGGACUUUAAACAUGCUUUUAAACAGAGGUUUUUAACGAUAUACAAGCUGUUUUAAAAGGAUUUUAAAAGUGUUGAAAAAGCUGCAACAGCGGUUAUUAGGAAAAAAUUUACAACCGUUUUUAAAAUGAUUUACAACCGUUUUUAAAAGAGAAUUUCAACCGUUUUUAAAAGAGAAUUUCAACCGUUUUUAAAGAAAUUUACAAUCGUUUUUAAAAGAAUUUUAAAAGUGUUGAAAAAGCUGCAGUAGCUGCUAGUAUGAAAAGAUUUACAACUGUUUUUAAAAUAAUUUACAACCGUUUUUAAAGAGAUUUACAACCGUUUAUGAUUUGAAUGGAAAAGACUUUAAAAUAACAGGUUUUUUAACGAUUUACAAGCUGUUUUAAAAGCGUUUUAAAAGUGUUGAAAAAGCUGCAGUAGCUGUUAUUAUGAAAAGAUUUACAACCGUUUUUAAAAGAGAAUUUCAACCGUUGAAAAAGUUACAGUAAUGUUAAACAUUGUAUCUGUUACUAAUUGGGCCUAGGCCAGUUAUUUAGAAAAACAAACGGUUUUAGUAAAAAAAAAACUAAAAGCCAAAAAAACACUAAAGCCCAAAAAUUCACUAUAACCCAAAAACAAAAAAGGAAGGGAACCAUGGAAAGACAAAAAAGGUAACAAAAAAAAGAAAAGAAAAAAAAGAAGAGAAACUGUCGUCUUCGUCUUCUUCCUUUCAACAAUCUGAAGAAAAUCCGAUUAUCCAGCAAAACGGAAGCAAUUGAAGGUAACAAAUUGACGAAAUUGAAGUUUAACAUUUGGGUUUGUUCGAUUUUGUUUAUUUUUGCCGAAUCUCUUUUUUGUUCUAGCAUUUCUAGGGUUUUCGGUUGAAAACGAAACAAGUAAAAUAGAUUGAUAUUUGAGAUUUUGAAGGAGGGUUAGAAAUUGUUUUU